Molecule: ribosomal RNA, 1438 nt
Filed under: uncultured prokaryote
Description: partial 16S ribosomal RNA
Rfam family: Bacterial small subunit ribosomal RNA
Source: RNAcentral
GAUGAACGCUAGCGGGAGGCCUAACACAUGCAAGUCGAACGGGAUUGGUAGCAAUACCAUGAGAGUGGCGCACGGGUGAGUAACGCGUAUGCAACCUACCUUUUACAGAGGAAUAGCCCAGAGAAAUUUGGAUUAAUACCUCAUAGUACUUUUUGAUCACAUGGUUUAAUAGUUAAAGCUCCGGCGGUUUAAGAUGGGCAUGCGUGACAUUAGAUAGUUGGUAAGGUAACGGCUUACCAAGUCAGCGAUGUCUAGGGGGUCUUAAAGGAUGAUCCCCCACACUGGUACUGAGACACGGACCAGACUCCUACGGGAGGCAGCAGUGAGGAAUAUUGGUCAAUGGGCGCAAGCCUGAACCAGCCAUCCCGCGUGAAGGAUGACAGCCCUACGGGUUGUAAACUUCUUUUGUAUAGGAAGAAAAAUCUCUACGUGUAGAGAUCUGACGGUACUGUACGAAUAAGCAUCGGCUAACUCCGUGCCAGCAGCCGCGGUAAUACGGAGGAUGCAAGCGUUAUCCGGAUUUAUUAGGUUUAAAGGGUGUGUAGGCUGAAUAAUAAGUCAGUGGUGAAAUACUGCCGCUUAACGGUAGAACUGCCAUUGAUACUGCAAGUCUUGAAUAUGGUUGAGGUAGGCGGAAUGUGUCGUGUAGCGGUGAAAUGCAUAGAUAUGACACAGAACACCAAUUGCGAAGGCAGCUUACUAAGCCAUUAUUGACGCUGAGGCACGAAAGCGUGGGGAGCGAACAGGAUUAGAUACCCUGGUAGUCCACGCCGUAAACGAUGAUCACUCGCUGUCUGCGAUACACAGUAGGCGGCUGAGCGAAAGCAUUAAGUGAUCCACCUGGGGAGUACGAUCGCAAGGUUGAAACUCAAAGGAAUUGACGGGGGCCCGCACAAGCGGAGGAACAUGUGGUUUAAUUCGAUAAUACGCGAGGAAACUUACCUGGGCUUAAAUGUAGAACGACAGUUCCCGAAAGGGAAUCUUCUUCGGACGGACUGCAAGGUGCUGCAUGGUUGUCGUCAGCUCGUGCCGUGAGGUGUCGGGUUAAGUCCCAUAACGAGCGCAACCCCUAUCGUUAGUUGCCAGCGGAUAAUGCCGGGGACUCUAACGAAACUGCCGGCGCAAGCCGAGAGGAAGGUGGGGAUGACGUCAAAUCAGCACGGCCCUUACGUCUAGGGCUACACACGUGCUACAAUGGCCGGUACAGAGGGCAGCCACCUGGUGACAGGGAGCGAAUCUCCAAAGCCGGUCUCAGUUCGGAUCGAAGUCUGCAACUCGACUUCGUGAAGUUGGAUUCGCUAGUAAUCGUAUAUCAGCAAUGAUACGGUGAAUACGUUCCCGGGCCUUGUACACACCGCCCGUCAAACCAUGGAAGCCGGGGGUGCCUGAAGUACGUUACCGUAAGGAGCGUCCUAGGGUAAAACUAGUAACUGGUGUU